Mus musculus (house mouse) is the source of this 818-nucleotide long non-coding RNA. RefSeq annotates it as predicted gene, 31407. Lineage: Eukaryota; Metazoa; Chordata; Mammalia; Rodentia; Muridae. The transcript is spliced from 2 exons. The record is from RefSeq and is a predicted model, not a curated record.
GUGCUGUGCUUUCUCUAUCCUAUCCACCACUCCAGGGACGUAGUGCCAGCUGCUGCCCCCACCCCUACUUUGGUUAAGCUUUCUGAGCUUUCUGAGUAUAAUCUCAACUGCCUGUAAACACACACACCCCUCGGACAGCCACCUAGUUUGGAUUUAACCUGCUUUUGCAUGGUUCUUUCAGGGGGCAUCCCACAGUACAACCUGACUUUCUUUUACGGUCAUUUUGCAAGCAGUAGCUCAUUUCCAAAGCCUUCUCGCAUCUAGCUUCCACCCAAGUACAGACCUGUUUAUGCAUUUUUAACCCAAGGAGAAAUAGUUUCGCAAGGGUCUGUAAAAGUAAUUGACACCACUGGCUGAUAAUUCUAUAAUGGCCCUAUUAACCACGGGGUAUUCUGUUUACUUCACAGCUCAAGAAGGUGACCCUUUCUGAUGAAGGGAUUCAUCGAGAUCUGCUCUUAGCAGUGAAUGAUAUUUUAUUCUAAACUCGCGCUCUAAAAUUUAGUUCCAUGACUUUGUAAAUGAGUAUAAUCCAGAGACUCCUUUGAUCGUCGCCUCUUUCUCAUAAUGAUGUGUUAUUAGCCUCACUCUUCAGCAGGUAGAGAUCCUUUUUAAUCACGCUGUUCCCCCAAGAAUUCAUUAAAAUACAAUUAAAAAGUUAUAAUAGCUUCAAAUACAUUUCAAAAAGACCACCGGAGGGUGAGGGUUAGAUGAACAGUUGUGUAAAGGAAGCCUAUUCGUCUCCCGCACCUCUUUGGAGAAGUCGUUCCAAUGAACAUGGCAUUUUCUCAAGGACGAAAAUAAACAAACUGAAUGUGUGA